UUAAUGUGUCUUUCAAAAACGAAACCGGCAGGGCUCUUUUAGAUGUUGUACUCACAAGCUGAAGGAAUGGCUGGUAUUUAAAUGCCCUUGGAAGAUAGUAUAGUUCUGUGAUAAGCGGUUUUGCUUUGAUGUUGUAAAGCUUUCAUGGUACCUUAUGGUGCCAAUUAUCAAUCACUUAUGAUUGUGUUUGAUAUCUGUUCAGUACAUAGCUAUUAUUCAGUCCACUUGAACAGCCUUAGCGUACAAGAUUCUGAGGUUUAUGACAGACUGGAGAUCAUGCCCUGGGUCAAAGGCAAGUAGAGGAUUAGUCCAGUGUUGAGCCCCUGGGUCAUGGGAAAGGUAGACUUUCUUCAAAGAAUGUGCAGAAACACGAAAGAUGAAAGUUAGCUUCAGAAUAUCUGUAGGGCAACUUAUUGCUGGAGCCAUCAUUGGCCAAGACAGGGGAGAAGCCCCAGAAACCUCUUUGAUUUCUUGCCUGUUUCACAUGAUGUUUUGUAAUAAACAUAGUUCAAUGACCAAAGUCUAGACAAACAAAUCACAGACCUGGCAAAUCCCUGUGAUCUGAUGACAUGUUAUGUCUCUGAGAUGCAAUAGGAAGAAGGAGUCAGCUUUGAAAUGCUAACACAGACCCUUUGUGAGCUAAGAGUGAAUGAGGGCUGUUAGGAAGGGGACUCAGACAAGCAAACUCCUCUCUAACCAAAUUAGAAGAAAUCCUAGACUGCUUGCUAUAUUGUGAGAUCCUUAUGGACUACAGGUGUGCAGGCUCAAACACCACCGUUAGAGCCUCGUGCCAGCUGACAGAUGCCACAAUACAAACUGGGUGAGGAUUUGGACUACCCAAGGCGGAGAAAAGAAAACUGAAGCCCGGGAGGAACUUUGGAGAUGGUCCCAUCCACGCCUCUUAUUUUAAAGAUGAGGAAA
Non-coding RNA from Phascolarctos cinereus (koala), 921 nucleotides. The record is from RefSeq and is a predicted model, not a curated record. NCBI's taxonomy places the organism in Eukaryota, Metazoa, Chordata, Mammalia, Diprotodontia, Phascolarctidae.